UCGCUAAUGAGAUAUUGCUUGGUC
RNAcentral lists this non-coding RNA (24 nucleotides) under Arabidopsis thaliana (thale cress). Lineage: Eukaryota; Viridiplantae; Streptophyta; Magnoliopsida; Brassicales; Brassicaceae. The record is from RNAcentral.